This 162-nucleotide non-coding RNA is filed under the name bovine gut metagenome. RNAcentral's name for it is "Lysine riboswitch". It matches the Rfam family "Lysine riboswitch aptamer". Rfam says of the family: Riboswitches are metabolite binding domains within certain messenger RNAs that serve as precision sensors for their corresponding targets. Allosteric rearrangement of mRNA structure is mediated by ligand binding, and this results in modulation of gene expression. This family includes riboswitches that sense lysine in a number of genes involved in lysine metabolism, including lysC. The record is from RNAcentral.
CGAUAGAGGCGCGGGGUACAUCAGUACCGUGUCGGUUCGGCAAAUCGCCGGCACGCGAAAGGGCACACCGCCGAAACCUUCAAAGUUCUGCCAAAGCGUUGGGGGUUGGGUCGCAGGGGAACACGUUGCGGACUGUCGCGAUUAAUUUGCGGAGUGCUAUCA